RNAcentral lists this ribosomal RNA (767 nucleotides) under uncultured Inocybe. RNAcentral describes it as "partial 28S ribosomal RNA". It matches the Rfam family "Eukaryotic large subunit ribosomal RNA", at positions 216 to 962 of the family's 3401-position model. The record is from RNAcentral. Lineage: Eukaryota; Fungi; Basidiomycota; Agaricomycetes; Agaricales; Cortinariaceae.
GAAUCCCGUCUUUGACAUGGACUGCCAGUGCCUAAUAGGUGCGCUCUCGAAGAGUCGAGUUGUUUGGGAAUGCAGCUCAAAAUGGGUGGUAAAUGCCAUCUAAAGCUAAAUAUUGGCGAGAGACCGAUAGCGAACAAGUACCGUGAGGGAAAGAUGAAAAGAACUUUGGAAAGAGAGUUAAACAGUACGUGAAAUUGCUGAAAGGGAAACGCUUGAAGUCAGUCGCGUCGGGUCGGAAAUCAACCUCGCUUUUGCUGGGUGUACUUUCCGUCCGAUGGGCCAGCAUCGGUUUCGGUUGCUGGACAAAGUUCUUUGGGAAAGUGGCAUCCUCGGAUGUGUUAUAGCCCUUGGGACAUAUGCAGCGGUCGGGAUUGAGGAACUCAGCACGCCCGCGAGGGCUGGGGCUUUUGUCCACAUGAACGUGCUUAGGAUGCUGGCAUAAUGGCUUUAAUCGACCCGUCUUGAAACACGGACCAAGGAGUCUAACAUGCCUGCGAGUGUUUGGGUGAAAAACCCAUGCGCGCAAUGAAAGUGAAGGUUGAGAUCCCUGUCGUGGGGAGCAUCGACGCCCAGACCAGACCUUCUGUGACGGAUCUGCGGUAGAGCACGCAUGUUGGGACCCGAAAGAUGGUGAACUAUGCCUGAAUAGGGUGAAGCCAGAGGAAACUCUGGUGGAGGCUCGUAGCGAUUCUGACGUGCAAAUCGAUCGUCAAAUUUGGGUAUAGGGGCGAAAGACUAAUCGAACCAUCUAGUAGCUGGUUCCUGCC